RNAcentral lists this ribosomal RNA (392 nucleotides) under uncultured bacterium. Its description in RNAcentral is "partial 16S ribosomal RNA". It matches the Rfam family "Bacterial small subunit ribosomal RNA", at positions 523 to 918 of the family's 1533-position model. The record is from RNAcentral.
AUACGUAGGGGGCGAGCGUUGUCCGGAUUUACUGGGCGUAAAGGGUGAGUAGGCGGUUAUGUGUGUCAGAUGUAAAAGGCUAUGGCUUAACCAUAGUUAGCAUUUGAAACUGUAUGACUUGAGUGCAGGAGAGGUAAGUGGAAUUCCUAGUGUAGCGGUGAAAUGCGUAGAUAUUAGGAGGAACACCAGUGGCGAAGGCGACUUACUGGACUGUAACUGACGCUGAGUCACGAAAGCGUGGGUAGCAAACAGGAUUAGAUACCCUGGUAGUCCACGCUGUAAACGAUGAGUGCUAGGUGUUGGCCAGCGAUGGUCAGUGCCGCAGUAAACACAUUAAGCACUCCGCCUGGGGAGUACGGUCGCAAGACUGAAACUCAAAUGAAUUGACGGGG